AAUCAAGUGCCUUAAGGGUGUUCGGUGGAUGCCUUGGCGCUGAGAGGCGAUGAAGGACGUGCUACGCUGCGAUAAGCCGUGGGGAGCUGCGAAGAAGCUUUGAUCCAUGGAUUUCCGAAUGGGGAAACCCACCUUCGAUAGCCGGAACUCCAAGACCUUUGUCGAAAGACAUCGGUGUGGGGUUUGAUCAGAAAUGAGAGAUGCCUGGACCUUUAGAUUUCGAUCGAAGAGGUUUUGGAUUUCCGGUUAUCAAGAGAAGGUAUGAGACUUCUGAAUACAUAGGAGGUUUCAAGCAAACCCAGGGAACUGAAACAUCUAAGUACCUGGAGGAAAGGACAUCAACAGAGACUCCGUUAGUAGUGGCGAGCGAACGCGGACCAGGCC
Molecule: ribosomal RNA, 384 nt
Filed under: Bradyrhizobium japonicum
Lineage: Bacteria; Pseudomonadati; Pseudomonadota; Alphaproteobacteria; Hyphomicrobiales; Nitrobacteraceae
Also listed under: 1 other name
Description: bacterial LSU rRNA
Rfam family: Bacterial large subunit ribosomal RNA
Source: RNAcentral